RNAcentral lists this ribosomal RNA (395 nucleotides) under uncultured bacterium. RNAcentral's name for it is "partial 16S ribosomal RNA". It matches the Rfam family "Bacterial small subunit ribosomal RNA", at positions 338 to 730 of the family's 1533-position model. The record is from RNAcentral.
CCUACGGGUGGCUGCAGUGAGGAAUAUUGGUCAAUGGGCGUAAGCCUGAACCAGCCAAGUCGCGUGAGGGAUUAAGGUCCUAUGGAUCGUAAACCUCUUUUAUCAGGGAAUAAUGUGUGGGACGCGUCCUAUUUUGUAUGUACCUUAUGAAUAAGGAUCGGGAAACUCCGUUCCAGCAGCCGCAGUUAUGCGGCGGAUCGGAGCGUUAUCCGGAUUUGUUGGGUUUUAAGGGUGAGUAGGUGGCCUUUUAAGUCGGUGGUGAAAAUUUGUGGCUGAACCAUGGACCUGCCGUUGAAACUGGGGGGCUUGAGUAUGUUAGAGGCAGGCGGAAUGCGUGGUGUAGCGGUGAAAUGCUUAGAUAUCACGCAGAACCCCGAUUGCGAAGGCAGCAUGCC